RNAcentral lists this ribosomal RNA (486 nucleotides) under uncultured bacterium. RNAcentral describes it as "bacterial SSU rRNA". It matches the Rfam family "Bacterial small subunit ribosomal RNA", at positions 8 to 526 of the family's 1533-position model. The record is from RNAcentral.
AGAGUUUGAUCAUGGCUCAGAAUCAACGCUGGCGGCGCGCCUAACACAUGCAAGUCGGACGAGAAAGUGGAGCAAUCCAUGAGUACAGUGGCGUACGGGUGAGUAACACGUGGGUAAUCUACCUCUUAGUGGGGAAUAUCUCUGGGAAACCGGAGUUAAUACCGCAUAAGCUCGAGAGAGGAAAGCAGCAAUGCGCUGAGAGAGGAGCCCGCGGCCGAUUAGCUAGUUGGUGAGGUAAAGGCUCACCAAGGCAAAGAUCGGUAGCCGGCCUGAGAGGGCACACGGCCACACUGGCACUGAAACACGGGCCAGACUCCUACGGGAGGCAGCAGUGGGGAAUCUUGCACAAUGGGGGAAACCCUGAUGCAGCGACGCCGCGUGAGCGAUGAAGCCCUUCGGGGUGUAAAGCUCUUUCGACGGGAACGAUAAUGACGGUACCCGGAGAAGAAGCUGCGGCUAACUACGUGCCAGCAGCCGCGGUAAUUC